Molecule: non-coding RNA, 74 nt
Organism: Marchantia polymorpha subsp. polymorpha
Lineage: Eukaryota; Viridiplantae; Streptophyta; Marchantiopsida; Marchantiales; Marchantiaceae
Source: Rfam
GAGAGCCGUUUGAGGUAAAAGCCUCUCAUACGGUUCGGAGGGCAGCUGUGUUGAAAGACCCGACUGACCCGUAC